Molecule: long non-coding RNA, 324 nt
Organism: Bombina bombina (fire-bellied toad)
Lineage: Eukaryota; Metazoa; Chordata; Amphibia; Anura; Bombinatoridae
Exons: 3
Source: RefSeq, a predicted model, not a curated record
UUGAACGAUGCAUGGUAGCUAGAGAAAGGAGAAAAAUUGAGCAGCACAGAAAAAGAAAACACUUCACAGCCUGGAUCGGAUGGAGAAGAGGAAGUUGGGAGGGGAACCUCAGCUUUUACCAGGUGUCAGAAGACUCAGAUGCAGAAGCAAAGUCUACUUUACGUUUGGCAGAACACCAAGCUGCAUUAUGAUAAUGCUUCCAUAUUCCUUAAUAUUAUGAUGAUGGUGCCAAACCAGGAGUGGAAGUUUCUUGCAGUGUUCCAUAGCAGUGUGUCGUUCAGCCGCAAUGUCAAACCUCAUAUAAGUAUAGGAGCAGUCAGGCAG